Helianthus annuus (common sunflower) is the source of this 1500-nucleotide long non-coding RNA. RefSeq lists it as uncharacterized. The transcript has 6 exons. NCBI's taxonomy places the organism in Eukaryota, Viridiplantae, Streptophyta, Magnoliopsida, Asterales, Asteraceae. The record is from RefSeq and is a predicted model, not a curated record.
AACAAUCUAAUUAACCUAAUUCUCUAAAACCUUCAUUCACAGCUUCUCCUUCACGCUUUCUCAUUUGAGUAUUUGACAACCCUAAUACGUUUUGAUGCCGCUACAAUUCCUCUUGCUUUAAACCGCACGACGGUGGAACAUUAAGAACCUGCAAAAGCUUCAUAUCUUUGGAUCCCAAAACCAUCGAUUCUUUGUCACAAACCCUAAACCUUCAUCAAAUCGGUGCAACCCUAAUCCUCUUCAUCUCCUCCACCGUCCGUGUGUGUUUCACUCAGAUUUCUUCAUCGCCAACACGAUUCCGUAUCCAGUGAUGGACUUUUACUCAGAGUUUAUUUACUAUGGCUUGAUCGUUAUGGUUUCCUCCUCAUCAAUCCUUAAUCAGGUAUUUUGCGGACAAUGGAAAGAAAACAUAAAAACAUUUCAUUUAGAGGAGAUUCAAAUUGGCUUGGGUUUAGUAAGUGUCGGAAGAGGGAUGUGUUGGGAGAUGGUGUGAUUCAGGCAUCAUUUUUAUAGCCGAUGUAGUCUAAAGAUGAAGCCCAGGCCACCGAAGGUUAGUUGGUUCAGAUGUAUUUUUGUUUCUUUAGGGUAAUGUAGCAGCAGUAGUGGGGAGCACAGACAAGGGCGUUGCAUCAGGUUACUUCAAUUUUGGUUGUGUGUUGUGUAAAAUGAUCAUCUUUUGGAUUCUAUUACUUGGUCGAUUUCAUUUGGGUUUGAUUAAGUUUUUGUCUUGACCUACAGCCUACUUUAGUGGUAUUCAUUCUUGAUUUAUGUCUGAGUUUUGCGCGGAGUUUUUUAUUUGUUUAUAAAAUCUUAAUCUUCUUCAUGAAACAAAUUGAUAAUGUUAUUUACCAAUUUACAUCAUUUUAUUGUUAAUUGUUAAAAUGGUGGAACCGAUUUAAUGUCGGGGGUUAAGAAAUUGAUUGAGAAAAUGAUAUUAGUGGCCAUUGAUUUAUUUCAAGUAUUCAAACCUAAAAAAUGAAGUGCGGAUUAUUUUCAUCGAGUUAGGCUUAAUGUUUGCUCCAACAAAGUGUUGACAGGUUACAAGUCGUGCAAAUUGAUUCUGAGAAGUAUAUGUGUCUCAAUGUGGGGCGUGGGAAGUUUAUAACUGAUUGUGAGCCAAAUAUCCAGUACUUCAGCCUGGAAAUAAUAAAAAGACUCUGUGUUAUAAGCAACAGUAUUCAUUGAGUGGGCAUGGACAUGUUUCAUUGGAUAAAAUCAAGAAAAUUGUUGCUGAAAUGGCUGGGGUGUCUAUAAAUGCGAUCAAAAUUUUCGUAUCUCCUUACAGGAUUUGCCCAUUGGGAGCUCACAUUGAUCAUCAGGUUGAUACAUAUUUCUAUUUACCAAAUCGUUUCAUAUUUUCAUAUUUCUUUCGUUUUCUUUUUAUGAAUUGAUAGGCUGGAAUAGUGUAACACCUCGAAUUUUUGCGUCCAGUAAUGUGUUAACACGUGUCAUUUGUUUACACGUGGCAUUAAUAUUGAAUAAAGGAUUAAUUUUGACAAA